This is an unclassified non-coding RNA of Papio anubis (olive baboon), 148 nucleotides long. It matches the Rfam family "Metazoan signal recognition particle RNA". Rfam says of the family: The signal recognition particle (SRP) is a universally conserved ribonucleoprotein. It is involved in the co-translational targeting of proteins to membranes. Lineage: Eukaryota; Metazoa; Chordata; Mammalia; Primates; Cercopithecidae. The record is from Ensembl.
GCUGGGUAUGGUGGUGCAUACCUGUAAUCUCAGCUAUUUGGGAGGCUGAGACGGGAGGAUCACUUGAGCCUGGGAGGUUGAGGCUACAGUGAGCCAUGAUGGUGCCACUGUACUGCAGCCUGGGUGUCAGAGUGAGACCCUGUCUCAA